AAAAACUUAAGUGUUACUCAAUCACUUUACAAGCAAUGAAAGGUACAAUAUAAUGUGAUCCGAACAACAUCAACAAGAGAUACAAGAACUGUUAUUUCUAUAAGCAAAUGAUUAAAUUCGCCUACUUCAACUGAUAUGUGGUGAAGCACUUUUUAUUGUUUAACAUUUGAACAUCAGAUCGCAAUUACUUUUAUGUACUUUAAGAAUAACAAUAAUUUUUAGAUUUAUGUUGGCCACAAAUAUUAAAAAUAUUAUUACUCUUUUACAAUUGCUUUUUGUCUAACUUUUUUUCUCAAACAUAUAUACUACAUAAAAUAAACGUUUAUACAAUACACUAAAAAACUCAAAAUGUUAAUCGAAAAUC
This 364-nucleotide long non-coding RNA is filed under the name Brassica napus (rape). RNAcentral's name for it is "long non-coding RNA (BNAP_LNC005339)". The record is from RNAcentral. Lineage: Eukaryota; Viridiplantae; Streptophyta; Magnoliopsida; Brassicales; Brassicaceae.